GACGAACGCUGGAGGCGUGCUUAACACAUGCAAGUCGAACGAUGAAAUGGAGCUUGCUCCAGGGAUUAGUGGCGAACGGGUGAGUAACACGUGAAUAACCUGCCCUUAAUUUUGGAAUAACCCAGGGAAACCUGGGCUAAUACCGGAUAAGUAAACCUGUGGCAUCACAUGGUUUUGGAAAGUGUUUCGAUUAAGGAUGGAUUCGCGGCCUAUCAGCUUGUUGGUGAGGUAAUGGCUCACCAAGGCGACGACGGGUAGCCGGCCUGAGAGGGUGAACGGCCACACUGGGACUGAGACACGGCCCAGACUCCUACGGGAGGCAGCAGUGGGGAAUAUUGCGCAAUGGACGAAAGUCUGACGCAGCGACGCCUCGUGAGGGACGAAGGUCUUCGGAUUGUAAACCUCUUUCAGCAGGGACGAAGCGAAAGUGACGGUACCUGCAGAAGAAGCACCGGCUAACUAUGUGCCAGCCGCCGCAGUAC
Molecule: ribosomal RNA, 482 nt
Filed under: uncultured bacterium
Lineage: Bacteria
Description: partial 16S ribosomal RNA
Rfam family: Bacterial small subunit ribosomal RNA
Source: RNAcentral